GCUUAGCGGCAUCUCCUUCAAUUGGCUCAUGCAAAUCCUUGCAAUAGAGAAUGUCCUCCAUCCUUGGCUUCCAUGUUACCCAAUUGGAGUUGGUGAGUUUGAUCAUAGUGCCACUUCCUUCCAUCUCGUAGUACGAGCCAACCGGGCUCUGAUACCACUUGUUAGGAAUGUCGGUACUACAAGAUAGAGAAUGCACAAGGUAAAGUAGAAAAUGGACACCAAGAAUUUAUGUGGUUCGGCAAUUUAUGCCUACGUCCACCAAACAAGGAAUCUUCACUAUAUGAAAAAAAGAUGAAUACAACAAGAGUAGUCUUACCAAGCCAAAGACAAGGCUUGAUGGAUACAAGAAAGUAUAACACACACUUUCUAUCACUCUAAACUUCACUCACACAAUGUGUAGUGGAACACUCUCA
This 413-nucleotide long non-coding RNA is filed under the name Malus domestica (apple). RNAcentral describes it as "long non-coding RNA (MDOM_LNC007455)". The record is from RNAcentral. Lineage: Eukaryota; Viridiplantae; Streptophyta; Magnoliopsida; Rosales; Rosaceae.